GAAACGAGACAAAAACACAUCAUAUGAGAAUGUACGUCCAUAAUAAAUGGGAAAAGCAUACUGCCUUUAGCCUUCUAUUCUUCCUUGGUAUGUGUUGACCACAGUAUAAAUACAUUUUUAUUAGCUAACAGCAGUUAGAUAAGAUAAAUUCAUUGUCAUUUUGUCAAAUUAUGAAACAUUAAGGAAUAUCAGAAAAAUUGAAUUACUAAUUCUGAUGUACUCCAACUGAUUUCCAGGAAACCAAGAGGAAAAAAGCAAAGAAAUUGAUAUUUAUGUAGCCAUGGAACUUUCACCUUUUGUUUCCAAUAGAACUAAUAAAAUUUCCUACGGAAUACAGUUUUUCACAUCUGAUCACCCCGCAAAACCAUGAGUUUAGAGUGAGAAUACCCAUAGCAAAAGACAUAAAAUUGUUGCGGCUUGUGAUUUGCAGAUGACAAUGCAAUUAUAGAAAUUGAAUAUAGUCACUAGCACGCAAAAACCCACUCCCCCAAUUUGGGAAAUCAUCAAAAUUUUCGCUCA
RNAcentral lists this unclassified non-coding RNA (519 nucleotides) under Hevea brasiliensis (rubber tree). The record is from RNAcentral. Lineage: Eukaryota; Viridiplantae; Streptophyta; Magnoliopsida; Malpighiales; Euphorbiaceae.